Molecule: non-coding RNA, 686 nt
Organism: Python bivittatus (Burmese python)
Lineage: Eukaryota; Metazoa; Chordata; Lepidosauria; Squamata; Pythonidae
Source: RefSeq, a predicted model, not a curated record
GUUACGUGUAAGUUAAAAUGCUGAGGCUAGCCACGAUUUAGCAGCAGCAUGUGAUAAAGUUUAACACUUGCGUGGGCUUGAUUGAGCCAAGCGGUAGACAAUAAAACCAGCUGCUGCCAAUCUGGAUUAAUGAGCAUCUUCUAGGGGAAUGAAGCAUUGAUGACACUUUAUCAGCACUGGAAAAUGACUGUAGGGGGAAGCCUUUCAUUCUGCCUUCUCUUAAAAGCUUUUUGUGAUUUGACUUGUCUAGCUGUGAUGGUGAAGGAUUGUUAGUUAACGGAAGCUGAAAAAGGCAUCACCAGGAAGUAUUGCUGACUGGGAAUGGGUUGCAUUUGACAGCACGUGAUGGUCCAGAAACUUAAGCUGCUCAUCAGUCGCUCAGUAGUCAGUGUAGAUUCUGUUUCUUCGGUCAGCAGCUACAUCUGGCUACUGGGUCUCUGAAGACGUCUUGUAGCAGCUGGUCACUGUACUUCACCCCUGACUGGUUGGAUAACUUGAAUUACUUUUUAGACUAUCCUAUAAGAUAAAAUUAUUCAAUAAUAUUCAGAAUUUAUCCACAAGUAUUAAAAAGUGAUUCCAGAUACACACACACACACACACACACACACUUCUGAUUGAAUUAAACAGGAUUUUCUUUUAGUAAUGUCAACUAUAACAACAGGUUGCAAUAAAUAGUUGCUAGUAUU